GGGUCGAUGCCCGAGUGGUUAAAGGGGGCGGAUUGUAAAUCCGCUGGUAUUUUUCCUACGCUGGUUCAAAUCCAGUUCGACCCA
RNAcentral lists this transfer RNA (84 nucleotides) under Boodleopsis sp. H.0758. RNAcentral describes it as "tRNA-Tyr". It matches the Rfam family "tRNA". Rfam says of the family: Transfer RNA (tRNA) molecules are approximately 80 nucleotides in length. Their secondary structure includes four short double-helical elements and three loops (D, anti-codon, and T loops). Lineage: Eukaryota; Viridiplantae; Chlorophyta; Ulvophyceae; Bryopsidales; Halimedaceae. The record is from RNAcentral.